AUUGAACGCUGGCGGCAGGCUUAACACAUGCAAGUCGAGCGAGCGGCGGACGGGUGAGUAAUGUCUGGGAAACUGCCUGAUGGAGGGGGAUAACUACUGGAAACGGUAGCUAAUACCGCAUACCAUCAGAUGUGCCCAGCUGGGAUUAGCUAGUAGGUGGGGGAACGGCUCACCUAGGCGACGAUCCCUAGCUGGUCUGAGAGGAUGACCAGCCACACUGGAACUGAGAGACGGUCCAGACUCCUACGGGAGGCAGCAGUGGGGAAUAUUGCACAAUGGGCGCAAGCCUGAUACAGCCAUGCCGCGUGUAUGAAGAAGGCCUUCGGGUUGUAAAGCACUUUCAGCGAGGAGGCGUUACUCGCAGAAGAAGCACCGGCUAACUCCGUGCCAGCAGCCGCGGUAAUUC
This 406-nucleotide ribosomal RNA is filed under the name uncultured bacterium. RNAcentral describes it as "partial 16S ribosomal RNA". It matches the Rfam family "Bacterial small subunit ribosomal RNA", at positions 30 to 526 of the family's 1533-position model. The record is from RNAcentral.